CGGAAACGAAAUCUGUCUGUUUCCUUUCUCUUUGCUCCGAGUCGGAUAAGCAGAUCGAUGUUGGGAAUAUCUUGACGAGAAUUCUCUGGCGAAAAACGAAGGCCUUGUUAUUUUUAGUGUGGAUCGCGAAGCUGAUAGUUCGUGAGUUCUGGAACAAGUUGUAACAAGUUGUAUAGAGUUCAAUGCUGCGUAUAUACAACGAUGUACGUAGAGGCGAAACGCUGUGCAAACUUUCGUGCAAGUAAAUGCGGAGGCGCAUCGUGCAGUAUCUAGGCUAUAUCUACUUGAACCGGAGAGAAACGAAGAGGAGCAAAAUGUCCACGAACGAACAUCCUUUCAAACGAGAUCAUUCUUUUAUGAAACAGACAGAAAGAGACAAUAGGUGUACCUUUGUUCGUUUCAAUUCGCAGUGCCAGUACCUUUCUGCGUCUCCUCGAGAGAAGUACCUCAAUCGGUUACGCUAGCGAGCAAAACCGACCUGAAUGUCCUAUGUACAAGGUCUAACGAGUGAAAGAAAGAAACAUACGCCUAAGGACAAUCGAUGCAACCUAAACACAGCCUGCACAAUGGAUGCAUUCACACACCGACGUGAAAGAUGAGAAUGUUCACGCGAGAUUCGUCGCAAAAUUGGUUCAGGGCAAGCGCAGUGAGGAGAUUGGAACGUUUAGACCUGGUUCGCAGUUGUGUUUCAAUCGUGUGCACUUUUUUUCCAGACCUUACAAAGCUCGAAGGUCACUUCAAGAGCUCCAUAAACUUUCCAUAUCAAACACAAAAAACAACAGUU
Long non-coding RNA from Eufriesea mexicana, 784 nucleotides. RefSeq lists it as uncharacterized. Lineage: Eukaryota; Metazoa; Arthropoda; Insecta; Hymenoptera; Apidae. The transcript is spliced from 4 exons. The record is from RefSeq and is a predicted model, not a curated record.